This 253-nucleotide ribosomal RNA is filed under the name uncultured bacterium. Its description in RNAcentral is "partial 16S ribosomal RNA". It matches the Rfam family "Bacterial small subunit ribosomal RNA", at positions 524 to 776 of the family's 1533-position model. The record is from RNAcentral.
UACGAAGGUGGCAAGCGUUGCUCGGAAUCACUGGGCGUAAAGGGCGCGUAGGCGGGAUGGCAAGUCGGUCGUGAAAUCUCUGGGCUCAACUCAGGGGGGUCGGCCGAUACUGCCAUUCUUGAGGGAUGCAGAGGAGACUGGAAUUCCCGGUGUAGCGGUGAAAUGUGUAGAGAUCGGGAGGAACACCGGUGGCGAAGGCGGGUCUCUGGGCAUUCCCUGACGCUGAGGCGCGAAAGCGUGGGGAGCGAACAGG